RNAcentral lists this unclassified non-coding RNA (388 nucleotides) under uncultured fungus. RNAcentral's name for it is "sequence contains ITS1". The stretch from base 1 to 105 matches the Rfam family "5.8S ribosomal RNA", at positions 50 to 154 of the family's 154-position model. The record is from RNAcentral. Lineage: Eukaryota; Fungi.
GAAAUGCGAUACGUAGUGUGAAUUGCAGAAUUCCGUGAACCAUCGAAUCUUUGAACGCAUAUUGCGCUCGAGCCCUCGGGCAAGAGCAUGUCUGCCUCAGCGUCGGUUUAUAACCUCACCCCUCUCUCCUUUUGGAGAGCUGGUUAGCUUCUAGCUGGCCUUAGGAGUGGAUCUGGCUUUCCCAUUUGGUUUAUUCUGAAUGGGUUGGCUGAAGCUUAGAGGCUUAAGCAAGGACCCGAUAUGGGCUUCAACUGGAUAGGUAGCACCGGCUUCUGCCGACUACACGAAGUUGUGGCUUGUGGACUUUGCUAGAGGCCAAGCAGGAAACAUGCUUUGCAUGUCUUAAACUUUCGACCUGAGCUCAGGCAAGGCUACCCGCUGAACUUAA